This 440-nucleotide ribosomal RNA is filed under the name uncultured bacterium. RNAcentral describes it as "partial 16S ribosomal RNA". It matches the Rfam family "Bacterial small subunit ribosomal RNA", at positions 338 to 795 of the family's 1533-position model. The record is from RNAcentral.
CCUACGGGUGGCAGCAGUAGGGAAUAUUGCUCAAUGGGGGAAACCCUGAAGCAGCAACGCCGCGUGGAGGAUGAAGGUUUUCGGAUUGUAAACUCCUUUUGUUAGAGAAGAUAAUGACGGUAUCUAACGAAUAAGCACCGGCUAACUCCGUGCCAGCAGCCGCGGUAAUACGGAGGGUGCAAGCGUUAUUCGGAAUCACUGGGCGUAAAGAGCGCGUAGGCGGGAUAGCAAGUCAGCUGUGAAAUCCUAUGGCUUAACCAUAGAACUGCAUUUGAAACUGUUAUUCUAGAGUAUGGGAGAGGUAGGUGGAAUUCUUGGUGUAGGGGUAAAAUGCGUAGAGAUCAAGAGGAAUACUCAUUGCGAAGGCAACCUGCUAGAACGUAACGGACGCUGAUGCGCGAAAGCGUGGGGAGCAAACAGGAUUAGAUACCCCAGUAGUC